This 429-nucleotide ribosomal RNA is filed under the name Triticum aestivum (bread wheat). RNAcentral describes it as "partial small subunit ribosomal RNA". The record is from RNAcentral. Lineage: Eukaryota; Viridiplantae; Streptophyta; Magnoliopsida; Poales; Poaceae.
GUAUGGAUUAUCAAUAAAGUAUAUGAUUCGUUUGAGGAACAUCUUGAGAUUCAAGCAAUUGAGGAUGAUAUAACUAGUAAAUAUACUCCUCCCCAUGUCAACAUAUUUUAUUGUUUAGGGAGAAUUACACUUUUUGUAGUACAAGUCACUACCGGUUUUGCUAUGACUUUUUACUACUGACCAACCGUUAUACAGGCUUUUUCCUUGGUUCAAUACAUAAUGACCGAGGCCAACUUUGGUUGCUUAAUCUGAUGAGUUCAUCGAUGGUCAGCAAGUAUGACGGUUUUAAUGAUGAUCCUGCAUGUAUUUCAUGUGUAUCUCACAGGGGGUUUAAAAAAUCCCGAAUUAACCUGGGUCACAGGUGUGGUUUUGGCUGUCUUGACUGCAUCAUUUGGUGUAACGGGUUAUUCUUUGCCAGAAAAUCAUUAG